This 484-nucleotide ribosomal RNA is filed under the name uncultured bacterium. Its description in RNAcentral is "partial 16S ribosomal RNA". It matches the Rfam family "Bacterial small subunit ribosomal RNA", at positions 30 to 507 of the family's 1533-position model. The record is from RNAcentral.
AUUGAACGCUGGCGGCAGGCCUAACACAUGCAAGUCGAGCGGAUGAAGGGAGCUUGCUCCUGGAUUCAGCGGCGGACGGGUGGGUAAUGCCUAGGAAUCUGCCUGGUAGUGGGGGAUAACGUCCGGAAACGGGCGCUAAUACCGCAUACGUCCUGAGGGAGAAAGUGGGGGAUCUUCGGACCUCACGCUAUCAGAUGAGCCUAGGUCGGAUUAGCUAGUUGGUGGGGUAAAGGCCUACCAAGGCGACGAUCCGUAACUGGUCUGAGAGGAUGAUCAGUCACACUGGAACUGAGACACGGUCCAGACUCCUACGGGAGGCAGCAGUGGGGAAUAUUGGACAAUGGGCGAAAGCCUGAUCCAGCCAUGCCGCGUGUGUGAAGAAGGUCUUCGGAUUGUAAAGCACUUUAAGUUGGGAGGAAGGGCAGUAAGCUAAUACCUUGCUGUUUUGACGUUACCAACAGAAUAAGCACCGGCUAACUUCGUG